This 515-nucleotide ribosomal RNA is filed under the name Vibrio sp. 2Bb3S59. Its description in RNAcentral is "bacterial SSU rRNA". It matches the Rfam family "Bacterial small subunit ribosomal RNA", at positions 371 to 877 of the family's 1533-position model. RNAcentral also lists the same sequence under 1 other name. Lineage: Bacteria; Pseudomonadati; Pseudomonadota; Gammaproteobacteria; Vibrionales; Vibrionaceae. The record is from RNAcentral.
AUGGGCGCAAGCCUGAUGCAGCCAUGCCGCGUGUAUGAAGAAGGCCUUCGGGUUGUAAAGUACUUUCAGCAGUGAGGAAGGUGGUGUCGUUAAUAGCGCCAUCAUUUGACGUUAGCUGCAGAAGAAGCACCGGCUAACUCCGUGCCAGCAGCCGCGGUAAUACGGAGGGUGCGAGCGUUAAUCGGAAUUACUGGGCGUAAAGCGCAUGCAGGUGGUUUGUUAAGUCAGAUGUGAAAGCCCGGGGCUCAACCUCGGAAUUGCAUUUGAAACUGGCAGACUAGAGUACUGUAGAGGGGGGUAGAAUUUCAGGUGUAGCGGUGAAAUGCGUAGAGAUCUGAAGGAAUACCGGUGGCGAAGGCGGCCCCCUGGACAGAUACUGACACUCAGAUGCGAAAGCGUGGGGAGCAAACAGGAUUAGAUACCCUGGUAGUCCACGCCGUAAACGAUGUCUACAUUGGAGGUUGUGGCCUUGAGCCGUGGCUUUCGGAGCUAACGCGUUAAGUAGACCGCCUGGG